AGCAGCCGCGGUAAUUCCAGCUCCAAUAGCGUAUAUUAAAGUUGUUGCAGUUAAAAAGCUCGUAGUUGAAUUUCGGGGUUAGUAGGUCGGUCAUGCCACUGGUAUGUACUGGUCUCACUGAUUCCUCCUUCCUGAUGAACCGUAAUGCCAUUAAUUUGGUGUUGCGGGGAGACUGGACUGUUACUUUGAAAAAAUUAGAGUGUUUAAAGCAGGCUAACGCUUGAAUACAUUAGCAUGGAAUAAUGAAAUAGGACGUUCGAUCCUAUUUUGUUGGUUUCUAGGAUUGACGUAAUGGUUAAUAGGGAUAGUUGGGGGCAUUAGUAUUCAAUUGUCAGAGGUGAAAUUCUUGGAUUUAUUGAAGACUAACUACUGCGAAAGCAUUUGCCAAGGAUGUUUUCAUUAAUCAAGAACGAAAGUUAGGGGAUCGAAGACGAUCAGAUACCGUCGUAGUCUUAACCAUAAACUAUGCCGACUAGGGAUCGGAUGAUGUUGAUUUUUUAAUUGACUCAUUCGGCGCCUU
Molecule: ribosomal RNA, 520 nt
Filed under: uncultured Glomus
Lineage: Eukaryota; Fungi; Glomeromycota; Glomeromycetes; Glomerales; Glomeraceae
Description: SSU rRNA
Rfam family: Eukaryotic small subunit ribosomal RNA
Source: RNAcentral